RNAcentral lists this transfer RNA (17 nucleotides) under Carica papaya (papaya). RNAcentral describes it as "partial tRNA-Phe". The record is from RNAcentral. Lineage: Eukaryota; Viridiplantae; Streptophyta; Magnoliopsida; Brassicales; Caricaceae. RNAcentral also lists the same sequence under 7 other names.
GUCGGGAUAGCUCAGUG